GUUGACCUCGGAUCAGGUAGGGAUACCCGCUGAACUUAAGCAUAUCAAUAAGCGGAGGAAAAGAAACCAACAGGGAUUGCCCCAGUAACGGCGAGUGAAGCGGCAAGAGCUCAAAUUUGAAAGCUGACUCCUUCGGGGUCCGCAUUGUAAUUUGCAGAGGAUGCUUCGGGAGCGGUCCCCAUCUAAGUGCCCUGGAACGGGACGUCAUAGAGGGUGAGAAUCCCGUAUGGGAUGGGGUGUCCGCGCCCGUGUGAAGCUCCUUCGACGAGUCGAGUUGUUUGGGAAUGCAGCUCUAAAUGGGUGGUAAAUUUCAUCUAAAGCUAAAUAUUGGCCGGAGACCGAUAGCGCACAAGUAGAGUGAUCGAAAGAUGAAAAGCACUUUGAAAAGAGAGUUAAAAAGCACGUGAAAUUGUUGAAAGGGAAGCGCUUGCGACCAGACUCGCUCGCGGGGUUCAGCCGGCAUUCGUGCCGGUGUACUUCCCCGCGAGCGGGCCAGCGUCGGUUUGGGCGGUCGGUCAAAGGCCCUCGGAAGGUAACGCCCCUAGGGGCGUCUUAUAGCCGAGGGUGCAAUGCGACCUGCCUAGACCGAGGAACGCGCUUCGGCUCGGACGCUGGCAUAAUGGUCGUAAGCGACC
RNAcentral lists this ribosomal RNA (635 nucleotides) under Penicillium atramentosum. RNAcentral describes it as "eukaryotic LSU rRNA". It matches the Rfam family "Eukaryotic large subunit ribosomal RNA", at positions 1 to 649 of the family's 3401-position model. The record is from RNAcentral. Lineage: Eukaryota; Fungi; Ascomycota; Eurotiomycetes; Eurotiales; Aspergillaceae.